RNAcentral lists this long non-coding RNA (233 nucleotides) under Ananas comosus (pineapple). Its description in RNAcentral is "long non-coding RNA (ACOM_LNC027981)". Lineage: Eukaryota; Viridiplantae; Streptophyta; Magnoliopsida; Poales; Bromeliaceae. The record is from RNAcentral.
CUAUUCACUUUAAGUGAAACCUAAUAAUCGCGUAACUUCUCCAUUCUAGCUCAUUUUCUUCUGAAACUUGACGAGUGCUUAUGUAAUUAAAUUACACACAUAAACAUCAUCAACAGAGAGUUUAGUUGCACUUUCAAAAUCUCAGUCCUUACAUAUAUAUAUUAGGAUUAGUCAAAAUUUGAUUUAAAUUAAACUCUAAGUGUAUGUAUUAGAGUCUAAUUCAGUUUCAUUUU